RNAcentral lists this ribosomal RNA (524 nucleotides) under uncultured bacterium. Its description in RNAcentral is "bacterial SSU rRNA". It matches the Rfam family "Bacterial small subunit ribosomal RNA", at positions 28 to 524 of the family's 1533-position model. The record is from RNAcentral.
GACGAACGCUGGCGGCGUGCCUAAUACAUGCAAGUCGAACGCUUUUUCUUUCACCGGAGCUUGCUCCACCGAAAGAAAAAGAGUGGCGAACGGGUGAGUAACACGUGGGUAACCUGCCCAUCAGAAGGGGAUAACACUUGGAAACAGGUGCUAAUACCGUAUAACAAGUAAAACCGCAUGGUUUUACUUUGAAAGGCGCUUUUGCGUCACUGAUGGAUGGACCCGCGGUGCAUUAGCUAGUUGGUGAGGUAACGGCUCACCAAGGCAACGAUGCAUAGCCGACCUGAGAGGGUGAUCGGCCACAUUGGGACUGAGACACGGCCCAAACUCCUACGGGAGGCAGCAGUAGGGAAUCUUCGGCAAUGGACGAAAGUCUGACCGAGCAACGCCGCGUGAGUGAAGAAGGUUUUCGGAUCGUAAAACUCUGUUGUUAGAGAAGAACAAGGAUGAGAGUAAAAUGUUCAUCCCUUGACGGUAUCUAACCAGAAAGCCACGGCUAACUACGUGCCAGCAGCCGCGGUAAU